AUGCAGGCGCACAGGUGCACAUACACUCAAAUUAGAAUGACACAGAGAAAAUUAGCGUCACCCCUGCACAAGAAUCACAUACACAU
RNAcentral lists this small nuclear RNA (86 nucleotides) under Meriones unguiculatus (Mongolian gerbil). Lineage: Eukaryota; Metazoa; Chordata; Mammalia; Rodentia; Muridae. The record is from RNAcentral.